UACGUAGGGUGCGAGCGUUGUCCGGAAUUAUUGGGCGUAAAGAGCUUGUAGGCGGUCUGUCGCGUCUGCUGUGAAAAUCCGGGGCUCAACCCCGGACUUGCAGUGGGUACGGGCAGACUAGAGUGUGGUAGGGGAGACUGGAAUUCCUGGUGUAGCGGUGAAAUGCGCAGAUAUCAGGAGGAACACCGAUGGCGAAGGCGGCAUCCUGGACCAACACUGACACUGAGGAGCGAAAGCCAGGGGAGCAAACGGG
RNAcentral lists this ribosomal RNA (253 nucleotides) under uncultured bacterium. Its description in RNAcentral is "partial 16S ribosomal RNA". It matches the Rfam family "Bacterial small subunit ribosomal RNA", at positions 524 to 776 of the family's 1533-position model. The record is from RNAcentral.